CUGGUCUAUUUGUGUCAGACUCAAGUGAUGCUUGGCUUUGCAAAACCAGAGGCACAGAAUUCAAGGGAAAACCCCCUCUCUGUCAUCAUAGAGAAGCCUCUGCAAGUGCAGCACAAACAAAAGCCAACCUAGAGCACCAGGCAUGCUAUUAUUCAUGUGCCUCAAAACUGUAGGUUCAGAGGCUGUGAUCCCACAUCCUGUCUGUGGCACAGGAAAAGGAAGGAAGAAGGAGAGUCACGUGCUCUGGGAGCCUGUUCUCGCUGUGCACAUCACCGAGAUCUGAAAGAAUCAAGAUCUGAGGACUCACUCCCAGAGAAGCCACUAUGGGACCAAAGGAUAUGUUCAUCUGCUACCACAGGUUUGGUUGACUUGGUGACCCCCACAUGGGUGAAAGAUUUUUGCAGACCUCUCAUCUGCAUGGACUAUUACAAUUUUCAAUAUUCUGAUAGCUGAAGAACAA
This 460-nucleotide long non-coding RNA is filed under the name Mus musculus (house mouse). Its description in RNAcentral is "predicted gene 44784". Lineage: Eukaryota; Metazoa; Chordata; Mammalia; Rodentia; Muridae. The record is from RNAcentral.